This 253-nucleotide ribosomal RNA is filed under the name uncultured bacterium. Its description in RNAcentral is "partial 16S ribosomal RNA". It matches the Rfam family "Bacterial small subunit ribosomal RNA", at positions 524 to 776 of the family's 1533-position model. The record is from RNAcentral.
UACGAAGGGGGCUAGCGUUGCUCGGAAUCACUGGGCGUAAAGCGCACGUAGGCGGAUUGCUAAGUCAGGGGUGAAAUCCUGGAGCUCAACUCCAGAACUGCCUUUGAUACUGGCAACCUUGAGUCCGGGAGAGGUGAGUGGAACUGCGAGUGUAGAGGUGAAAUUCGUAGAUAUUCGCAAGAACACCAGUGGCGAAGGCGGCUCACUGGCCCGGUACUGACGCUGAGGUGCGAAAGCGUGGGGAGCAAAUAGG